This is a non-coding RNA of Cricetulus griseus (Chinese hamster), 2057 nucleotides long. Lineage: Eukaryota; Metazoa; Chordata; Mammalia; Rodentia; Cricetidae. The record is from RefSeq and is a predicted model, not a curated record.
AGAGAGAACAGAAAGCCAGACAUGGAAACAGAUGACUGCAGCUCUUAGAGCUCUCCAUCCCACCUGAUGAUUCAUCUCUCCCUCUGCCUUCCCUGUUCGUUUGAAACAUGCAGUGGAAUUGAACGGGAAGACAGUAUCAAAUACUAAUUAAUCAUGAUUCUGCAUCUAUAUAGCAGUAGACAACACUGACUGAUGUUGUCCUUUGGCUGAGCAAAUUUCCUGCUGCUUGGAGAUCUCAUUCAGAAAUGCUGAUUCAUUUCUCCCUGCCAACUAAAGUGUGCUGCUGCAGAAACCGCGGAUAGAAUGGAUGAUAAGAAAAAUAUACUGUAUCCUAGACCCUGAAUACAAUAAACAAAAGAGAAAGGCAUCCUAGGAGCUGACUGUGAUUCUGGGCUGCCAAUUACAGCUGGCUUCUAAUAUUGACUGAAGUCAUGUCAUAUAACCCAAAUGUCCUUAUUGGGGAAAUCUGGCAGUUGAAACACACAGAUUCCAAGAUUAUUAAGUAAGAAUUCUCAGGUCUCUGGAACAGUUUCCCUUCUUUGCAGUUGUUUACAGUCAGGGUUUGACUAAUUCCAGCUACAGGCUGGAUAUUAGCCAGGACCCUGACUGGAAAAAAUCCUCCUGUGCCGACAUAUUUAUUACAUCAGUUUGCCUCAAAGGGAGGAGGGAAUACAUUUAGAGAUGCAUCAUGAGCCAAUCAGAAGAGAGAUUCUCAAACCCUGGAAUGGAAACAAAUGACUGCAGUCCUUGGAGAUCUGCCUAGGAGCUCCUGAUUCAUCUAUCUCUCUCCCCUCCCUGUUUUUCUCAAAGAAGUAUGAAUAUUGAUUUCGGAGGACAGAAUUUAAUGUAAUUUGCUUGCAUGGUGACCAAGUUCAGUGAAUGGGAGCAGCAACAUGAAUAAUAAAAUGGGCUUCCAUAUGAUUUUGAAGAAAAAAGUGUUUGAUAUGAAAGUUGGAGAAUUAUUGAGGACAAACAUCACAGAGAAAUUUCAUGCAUAUGCCUGAACAUUCGUCAAUAAAGCUGUCUCUGUGGUUGGUGAAGAUCCUUUUCCAUUGUGGGCUGUCGUUUUGUCUUCCUGACCUCAACAUAAAACUGGAUGAACUGGAAGAAACUACUUUGAGUGAGCUAAUCUUGUCACAAAAAACAAACAUGGUCUGUUUGCAUUCAAAUGUCAUUUGGAGCCUGAACCAAUAGGAAUAGUCUGAUCAAUUCCAUCAUGGAAAGCAAAUCCUGAGGAAAGCUUUGAGAUCUCCUUCUCAGCUUCUCACUCAUUUCUCCCACUCAGCUUAACAUGUCCUGCAGCAGAAAUCAUGAAAUACAAUGGAUGAGGAGAAAGUUACAAUUAAUCCUAAGAACUGAAUACAAGAAACAAAAGAGAAAAGCAUCCUUGGGGUAUUUUCUCUAAAUGUAACAUCCACUAUUCCAAUAGAACUUUGCUUCUAUAGCUUGGAAGAGCACUUGUUCCUUUCUGAUGCUGUAAAACUAGGCCAAGAAUAAAUACUAUCAUGUGCUAACAUGGAAAGAGACAAUUAUACCACAAUCCAACCCUAGACAGAAGACUACAAGCAAUUACAGAAUGCUGAAAGCAUUAAAACAAAGUAAUCUUCCCAAGGUAGAGCUCCUGUUAGAUUUCUUAGAAUUGUGCAGCACACCAGAUUUAGGUUGUUUCCGAAUUUCAAGUUCUACCAGAAAUGGAAGCAUAUCAGACAGGACAACAUGGAGCCUGGUGACCUCUAAGAUGAUGUUUCCAACUGCCGUUGUGAUCACAGGUUAAAGACCCUGGAGCAGAGAGCCCAGAAGCAGCACCAUUGAUGUCUGGCUCAUUCUCUCUUUGGGAAGCCAAAUAGCAUAGCUCCUGCGGUGCUUCUUGCAAAUGGUACACACAGCUCUGUGACUGGUGGCAUGUUCGUUAUCAUUCAUUUGAGAACUUUGUUGGGACAAGACACACAGUGGUUGCCUUAUGCCCUAUCCCAAAGCAUAUGAGAGACUCUUAAGACCCCUAUGGAAGGCCUCACCCUCCCUUGGGAACAGAAAGGGUAUGUGAUAGACAGGAUUUU